RNAcentral lists this ribosomal RNA (1554 nucleotides) under Salmonella enterica. Its description in RNAcentral is "partial 23S ribosomal RNA". It matches the Rfam family "Bacterial large subunit ribosomal RNA", at positions 1271 to 2808 of the family's 2925-position model. Lineage: Bacteria; Pseudomonadati; Pseudomonadota; Gammaproteobacteria; Enterobacterales; Enterobacteriaceae. The record is from RNAcentral.
UGCUGGAGGUAUCAGAAGUGCGAAUGCUGACAUAAGUAACGAUAAAGCGGGUGAAAAGCCCGCUCGCCGGAAGACCAAGGGUUCCUGUCCAACGUUAAUCGGGGCAGGGUGAGUCGACCCCUAAGGCGAGGCCGAAAGGCGUAGUCGAUGGGAAACGGGUUAAUAUUCCCGUACUUGGUGUUACUGCGAAGGGGGGACGGAGAAGGCUAUGUUGGCCGGGCGACGGUUGUCCCGGUUUAAGCGUGUAGGUGUGUGUUCCAGGUAAAUCCGGUUCACUUUAACACUGAGGCGUGACGACGAGGCACUACGGUGCUGAAGCAACAAAUGCCCUGCUUCCAGGAAAAGCCUCUAAGCAUCAGGUAACACGAAAUCGUACCCCAAACCGACACAGGUGGUCAGGUAGAGAAUACCAAGGCGCUUGAGAGAACUCGGGUGAAGGAACUAGGCAAAAUGGUGCCGUAACUUCGGGAGAAGGCACGCUGACACGUAGGUGAAGUGAUUUACUCAUGGAGCUGAAGUCAGUCGAAGAUACCAGCUGGCUGCAACUGUUUAUUAAAAACACAGCACUGUGCAAACACGAAAGUGGACGUAUACGGUGUGACGCCUGCCCGGUGCCGGAAGGUUAAUUGAUGGGGUCAGCGCAAGCGAAGCUCCUGAUCGAAGCCCCGGUAAACGGCGGCCGUAACUAUAACGGUCCUAAGGUAGCGAAAUUCCUUGUCGGGUAAGUUCCGACCUGCACGAAUGGCGUAAUGAUGGCCAGGCUGUCUCCACCCGAGACUCAGUGAAAUUGAACUCGCUGUGAAGAUGCAGUGUACCCGCGGCAAGACGGAAAGACCCCGUGAACCUUUACUAUAGCUUGACACUGAACAUUGAGCCUUGAUGUGUAGGAUAGGUGGGAGGCUUUGAAGUGUGGACGCCAGUCUGCAUGGAGCCGACCUUGAAAUACCACCCUUUAAUGUUUGAUGUUCUAACGUGGACCCGUAAUCCGGGUUGCGGACAGUGUCUGGUGGGUAGUUUGACUGGGGCGGUCUCCUCCUAAAGAGUAACGGAGGAGCACGAAGGUUGGCUAAUCCUGGUCGGACAUCAGGAGGUUAGUGCAAUGGCAUAAGCCAGCUUGACUGCGAGCGUGACGGCGCGAGCAGGUGCGAAAGCAGGUCAUAGUGAUCCGGUGGUUCUGAAUGGAAGGGCCAUCGCUCAACGGAUAAAAGGUACUCCGGGGAUAACAGGCUGAUACCGCCCAAGAGUUCAUAUCGACGGCGGUGUUUGGCACCUCGAUGUCGGCUCAUCACAUCCUGGGGCUGAAGUAGGUCCCAAGGGUAUGGCUGUUCGCCAUUUAAAGUGGUACGCGAGCUGGGUUUAGAACGUCGUGAGACAGUUCGGUCCCUAUCUGCCGUGGGCGCUGGAGAACUGAGGGGGGCUGCUCCUAGUACGAGAGGACCGGAGUGGACGCAUCACUGGUGUUCGGGUUGUCAUGCCAAUGGCACUGCCCGGUAGCUAAAUGCGGAAGAGAUAAGUGCUGAAAGCAUCUAAGCACGAAACUUGCCCCGAGAUGAG